This 497-nucleotide ribosomal RNA is filed under the name uncultured bacterium. RNAcentral's name for it is "partial 16S ribosomal RNA". It matches the Rfam family "Bacterial small subunit ribosomal RNA", at positions 28 to 507 of the family's 1533-position model. The record is from RNAcentral.
GAUGAACGCUGGCGGCGUGCCUAAUACAUGCAAGUCGAGCGAACGGACGAGAAGCUUGCUUCUCUGAUGUUAGCGGCGGACGGGUGAGUAACACGUGGAUAACCUACCUAUAAGACUGGGAUAACUUCGGGAAACCGUAGCUAAUACCGGAUAAUAUUUUGAACCGCAUGGUUCAAAAGUGAAAGACGGUCUUGCUGUCACUUAUAGAUGGAUCCGCGCUGCAUUAGCUAGUUGGUAAGGUAACGGCUUACCAAGGCAACGAUGCAUAGCCGACCUGAGAGGGUGAUCGGCCACACUGGAACUGAGACACAGUCCAGACUCCUACGGGAGGCAGCAGUAGGGAAUCUUCCGCAAUGGGCGAAAGCCUGACGGAACAACGCCGCGUGAGUGAUGAAGGUCUUCGGGUCGUAAAACUCUGUUAUUAGGGAAGAACAUAUGUGUAAGUAACUGUGCACAUCUUGACGGUACCUAAUCAGAAAGCCACGGCUAACUACGUG